This 65-nucleotide transfer RNA is filed under the name Bacillus anthracis (anthrax bacterium). RNAcentral's name for it is "tRNA-Ala". It matches the Rfam family "tRNA", at positions 9 to 71 of the family's 71-position model. From Rfam's summary of the family: Transfer RNA (tRNA) molecules are approximately 80 nucleotides in length. Their secondary structure includes four short double-helical elements and three loops (D, anti-codon, and T loops). The record is from RNAcentral. Lineage: Bacteria; Bacillati; Bacillota; Bacilli; Caryophanales; Bacillaceae. RNAcentral also lists the same sequence under 2 other names.
AGCUCAGCUGGGAGAGCGCCUGCCUUGCACGCAGGAGGUCAGCGGUUCGAUCCCGCUAGGCUCCA